Molecule: ribosomal RNA, 774 nt
Filed under: uncultured fungus
Lineage: Eukaryota; Fungi
Description: eukaryotic LSU rRNA
Rfam family: Eukaryotic large subunit ribosomal RNA
Source: RNAcentral
GAACUUAAGCAUAUCAAUAAGCGGAGGAAAAGAAACCAACAGGGAUUGCCUCAGUAACGGCGAGUGAAGCGGCAUAAGCUCAAAUUUGAAAUCUGGCUCUUUCAGGGUCCGAGUUGUAAUUUGUAGAAGAUGUUUCGGGUGUGGCCCCGGUCUAAGUUCCUUGGAACAGGACGUCAUAGAGGGUGAGAAUCCCGUAUGUGACUGGGUGCCUAUGCCCAUGUGAAACUCUUUCGACGAGUCGAGUUGUUUGGGAAUGCAGCUCAAAAUGGGUGGUAAAUUUCAUCUAAAGCUAAAUAUUGGCCAGAGACCGAUAGCGCACAAGUAGAGUGAUCGAAAGAUGAAAAGCACUUUGGAAAGAGAGUUAAACAGUACGUGAAAUUGUUGAAAGGGAAGCGCUUGCAAUCAGACUUGCGCCUGGGCGAUCAUCCGGGGUUCUCCCCGGUGCACUCGUUCAGGCUCAGGCCAGCAUCGGUUUCUGUGGUGGGAUAAAGGCCCUAGGAAUGUGGCCCCUCUCGGGGGGUGUUAUAGCCUAGGGUGCAAUGCCGCCUACGGGGACCGAGGACCGCGCUUCGGCUAGGAUGCUGGCGUAAUGGUUGUAAGCGACCCGUCUUGAAACACGGACCAAGGAGUCUAACAUCUAUGCGAGUGUUUGGGUGUCAAACCCAUACGCGUAAUGAAAGUGAACGGAGGUGAGAACCCUUAAGGGUGCAUCAUCGACCGAUCCUGAUGUCUUCGGAUGGAUUUGAGUAAGAGCAUAGCUGUUGGGACCCGAAA